UAUGCAAGCUCACUUAAGACAUUCAAGGAGGUCUGGAUCCUUUCCUCACUGCCCAGGCCCGGGCCCACCCCACCUUUAACCGUCAGGGUUCCCCACUACCUGGGAAGCCCCACACCCUCCAAAGAUGCGCUAGGUGCGCCAGACGCAUGCUCCUCUGCUCCGCUGGCUCCGAAGAACCAGAUCUGAGGCCAAGAUAAAACCCGAUUCCUGAUGUCCGACCCCCUAACAUUAGAAGUCGAGAGAUGAAGGGAAAACUCGGAAAUCAGAGCCAUGGAUUCAAACCAGCACUGGAAAAUGCCCCGGGACAGUUCGUGCUGAGCGCCUUAGCCACAGGAAACAUUUUCCUGGGCAUCUAAAAGUAUUGUGGACCUGAGACACUGUGCUUACAGGGCCUACUGGGUUGAUUCUAAAGAAGAAAGAAAAUCUAUAUGCAUGAAAAGAUGUCUUAAAAAGUUUUGAACUACUCAAAGUUAAGAUUUGGGGAAAUAGAAAUAGUAUAUAACUUAAGAAAAUUGCCACUGGCUGUGAACCCCCAUGGCAUUUUCUUUGCACUUUUUUGCUUCUCGUUAGAUUGUAUGUGUUUUUACCAUUUCACACAAACUUUUAAAGAUUAUUCCACGCCGUUAGCUCUGUGCUUCUAUUAGUGUCUCUAUCUCUCUUUCUCUCUCUCUUCCAUCUGAGUACAAUGGCUAGAAAAUAAUACACACUUGAAUGAAUAAAUGUCAUUUAAAUAUUUUAAUAAACAGAAGGAAUAGUAC
RNAcentral lists this long non-coding RNA (758 nucleotides) under Homo sapiens (human). Its description in RNAcentral is "HSALNT0348145". The record is from RNAcentral. Lineage: Eukaryota; Metazoa; Chordata; Mammalia; Primates; Hominidae.